This is a non-coding RNA of Characodon lateralis, 83 nucleotides long. The record is from the annotation of a GenBank genome assembly. NCBI's taxonomy places the organism in Eukaryota, Metazoa, Chordata, Actinopteri, Cyprinodontiformes, Goodeidae.
UGCACGGUGGCGCAGUUGGUAGCACUGUUGCUUUGCAGCUAGAAGGUUCUGGGUUUGACUCCCGGCUGGGGGUCUUUGUGCAU